GGUAAGUAAAAAAAGUUAUGGUAGGAAAGCAUGGCCUAGAGAUCUUGAAUCUUGACUUUGUAACACAUGAAUAUUAUUACAAUCUUACACUCCAUUCCUACCAUCAUUACAAGGAAGCUCCCUCAUUUCCUCCUAACUUACGGCACAUACACCACCCUCACAUACUCUCAUUUUCUUUUUCAUAACAUACUUAAUCCAAGCUUCACUCAUGCAUAGAAGAUUAUCUAGGGAGUUGUAAGCCAUGGGUGCUUUGUAGGAGCUUUGGAACUUCAAGAAUCUUCCCAACUUGUUCAUCUUCUUCACUAGUUUCUACCCUAGCCAUUGUGCUAGUAGUAAGACCAUUCAACCUAUUUUUUUAUGGUUUUUGACACGUACGGACGCUCACUUCGAUAUCAUAGUACACGGAACGCAAACUUGAAACAAGUCUUGAGCCGGUGAUACAUGAUUGGAUGCAAUGAUUA
This 461-nucleotide long non-coding RNA is filed under the name Helianthus annuus (common sunflower). The record is from RNAcentral. Lineage: Eukaryota; Viridiplantae; Streptophyta; Magnoliopsida; Asterales; Asteraceae.